CACGAAGUCGGACAGGCAGUAGUAGGGGUCUGAGCUGGCACUGUCCUUCUCUGCCUACAAGACAAACACAGUUAUCUUACAAUACACGCUUGUUGUUCACGUUGACCCCAUUUAGUCCGCUGUUUCCAUUGAUUGGUCCAUAGACUGUUGGUCGACCCAGAUGUUUAAGUCGAGCAGUAGCAACAAAAUCUAAACAAUUGGUGUACUAGACACCUUUCUGAUUGGCUCCUGUCUGAUUGGACUGAUCCAUUGUGGAGGCCUGUCUGAUUAGACUGAUCCAUUGUGGAGGUCUGUCUCAGUGGACUGAUCCAUUAUAGAGGUCUGUCUCAGUGGACUAAUCCAUUAUAGAGGCCUGUCUCAGUGGACUAAUCCAUUAUAGAGGUCUGUCUCAGUGGACUAAUCCAUUAUAGAGGCCUGUCUCAGUGGACUAAUCCAUUAUAGAGGCCUGUCUCAGUGGACUAAUCCAUUAUAGAGGCCUGUCUGAGUGGACUAAUCCAUUACAGAGGCCUGUCUGAAUGGACUAAUCCAUUACAGAGGCCUGUCUGAAUGGACUAAUCCAUUAUAGAGGCCUGUCU
Long non-coding RNA from Oncorhynchus tshawytscha (Chinook salmon), 575 nucleotides. The record is from Ensembl. NCBI's taxonomy places the organism in Eukaryota, Metazoa, Chordata, Actinopteri, Salmoniformes, Salmonidae.